RNAcentral lists this ribosomal RNA (253 nucleotides) under uncultured bacterium. RNAcentral's name for it is "partial 16S ribosomal RNA". It matches the Rfam family "Bacterial small subunit ribosomal RNA", at positions 524 to 776 of the family's 1533-position model. The record is from RNAcentral.
UACGAGGGGGGCUAGCGUUGCUCGGAAUCACUGGGCGUAAAGCGCACGUAGGCGGCUUUCUAAGUCAGGGGUGAAAUCCUGGAGCUCAACCUCGGAACUGCCUUCGAUACUGCGGGUCUCGAGUCCGGGAGAGGUGAGUGGAAUUCCUAGUGUAGAGGUGAAAUUCGUAGAUAUUAGGAAGAACACCAGUGGCGAAGGCGGCUCACUGGCCCGGUACUGACGCUGAGGCGCGAAAGCGUGGGGAGCAAACAGG